Molecule: non-coding RNA, 4337 nt
Organism: Penaeus vannamei (Pacific white shrimp)
Lineage: Eukaryota; Metazoa; Arthropoda; Malacostraca; Decapoda; Penaeidae
Source: RefSeq, a predicted model, not a curated record
AGGUCGAAAGGAAGAGUAGGGACAACUGCCCGUUUCCGUUCCUUCAGCGACACCUUCACACAGUCAUUCCAAGAAAAGAGUCCAUUCUUCUCGUGGUGUUGAGAGGCGCCAGGAAUAGACAACUAGGCAUAUGGAUUGAGGGGGAACAAGAGGGACUGUUUGUAACACAUUAAUCGUUUAAGUGAUGUGGAUAUUAUUAUUCUUUUUCAUAGCAGUUUUUUGAAUAUUAGAUUUUUCUUCUUUUUUAAAAUCUUUUAUCAUAUUAUGAAUGUAUGUAUAGUAAUCAUGAUGCAUUUGUAUGUUGUUUAAUCAGAGAGAGAGAGAGAAAGAGAAAGACAUACACAUGCAAACUUGAACAUAAAACAACGAGUGCUAUUGGUGAGAUAACAUUUUUGAGAAUGAUAUGAGGCAGGUAGUCAAGGUAUUUAUUCCAGAACCUGCAUUAGGGAAAUGGUGGUUGACAUUACACAAUGCAUCCCAAAUCAGAGGGCCAUGAAUAUGAAACAGAUUAAGGAAAACUGUGCAUACCCCUCACAUCUGUACACCACCACAGCAGCAUUCAGCAUGUGACCUAUACUGGUUAACCCUACACUGACGGUGCCAAAAUUUUCUGUGCGGCUCAUUCUGGCAACUGCUGGCAGCCGUCAAGCCUUUCAGCCGGGGCGAUCGCUAUGAACAGUUGGCCCUGCCUGCUUUCUCCCCAGAGCGAGUCAUAACACCUAUACCUGUUGCACAACAGAAGGGUAUGUUUUCAAACGGUAAGCCUGUGUCAGUGGUAAGCAGUGGAAUGUAGUUACUGCUUUCUCUUUAAGAACUUGUGAGGAUGCAGUGAACAAUAGUGAUUAUCAGAUGAGAGUGGUAAUGGAAAUGGAAUUGAGAUGGGUAAUCACUUAAGAGUCAGAUUUUAUAACUGUAUAUUUAUCAAAAAUUAACCUGUAAAUGAGGAAGUAGCCAGCCUAAUGGGGUUGAUGAUCAAAGAAUUGAAUCGGUAAGUGAAGCACAAAUGGUAUUUAAAAGAAAAAGUAAUUCCCCUUUUCUCAUAUUAAGACAUCAUCACAAAAUUAGUUUAAUUUUUGUGUAAACAAGAAUAGAAAUUGACUAGGGCUCAUGAUUUCCAAUCAGAAACAUCUCUGGUCUACUUUGGGGAUUUGUUGGAUAUUUAGGGAAGGAAAUCCUUCUUGUUGCAAUGAAUAUUGAUGCAGUGUUGAUAAGGAAGCUGUUGGAAGUCCAGCUCAUUUCUCAAUUGCUCUGUCAUGGCAUUAAGUGAGGUUGGUGUGUAUGUGUGUAUGUGUGUGAAUGAGACGAGGUGAGUGCAUGUGUAGAUGUUAGUAGCAUUUGUUUCUCCCUUUUCUUUUUGUUUUCAUCUUUUCUUGUGUAAUGGUUUCUUGCCUUUCCUGUCUGUCUUGCAUUUGCCUGUGUGCUUUUCAUUUGUAUAUUUUUUUAUUUUAUUAUUAUUAUUUUUUAUUGCAGUGUGUAUGACUUUUCUUUUGGCAACUUUCCAAACCUAGAGCAGAAAGAUAAUUAGGAUUAAUCAUGUAAAAGAAAUAUAUAUAUAGAAUUACCAGUCACAACAGCAUCUGACAUUGUCAUCUCAGUGAUUUUACUCAUAUUGAGUAGGGAUUUUAAUUUCUUCCCCAUAUCAUUGUUUUUUCUUUCUUUUCAUGCAAUAGAUAGUCUGGAAAAGGGAAAUUGUUAUCAAAACCUGUAAAAACCAAAGGAUUAUAAUAUAGUUACCAGGAAAAGGAGAGUAGUUAAAUCAUAUUUGCCUUUGCUUGUGCACAGCAGUGAUGGAAACUUGUGCAGGGAUAUGUAGUUGUCUAUGAUGUCAGUUUGAAGUCUUGUUACAUACUUCAUUAUUAUUUUUCCCCCAUCUCAUUUGAUUGCACUUUCGAUAUUACUAUUUUGAUGGUUAUUUUUCUACUUCAUUCAUGUAUGAUUAAAAUUUAACUGUCAUUGUUAUUUUCAUUUUGCUUCCACCCUAAAUGUGGAAAAGACCUUUUGGCAGACUCAUCACACUCAGACACCUUGACCCCUUAAGGAAGCUCUGUGAUAAUAAAUUACUUUACGGAAGAAUGGCUGAACACUGCAGUCACUGAGGCCAAGAAAUUUGAUACUAAGGGAGUUUAUUAUAGGAUUUUGGAGCUGGGGUAUGGUAAGGUGUGGCGUAUGUGGUUUCAGUGACCUCCUUGUUAAAAAGAUUUAAAAAGUGAAAGUGGUGUGAGUGAAGUGAUAAAAGUCCUUUUUCUUUAAGGACUUUUUUUUCAUAGUUCAUAGUAUGACCAAAGUUGGAGUUAAUAAUAGUAAUGAUAGCAAAGAUAAUAUUAAUGUGUAUAGUCAAUAUAUUUUUCAAAUUAUGAUCAUAAAAGUCUUUGGAUUUAGUGUUGACAGGUGGAUGGUUUCUGGGUGCCAGUUAUGCAGCAUUUGUCCAGAUUUUACAGGAAUUUGGCUUUCAUUAUGUAUGUGAUAAUAACCUUAUAAUUGAUUUGAUUAUAUCCAUAACAUUAUCGUGGACCCAUUUUUAGAUUUUUGAGAUUUCCUUAUUUUGAGUUUUUUUCUUUUUAUUUCCUUGGCACUCAGUCCAAAUAGCAGUGAAGAUGCCAAGGGAAGCUGUCCAAAAGAAUGGUACUGGCUAGUUUGCAGUUGGUCUUAAAACCGGAAGAAAAUAGUAAAACAAAAAACUUUAGGCAUUGUGAAUAAGAGGAGGAAGCUACAUGUUUUUUUUUUUUUUUUUUUUUUUUUUUUCCAUUAAUAGGAGAAUGAUAGGAAAUAAAAAAUGAGCACUCCCAAUAAUGUUUGAACUGGUGCCUGAAGUGUAUGCAGUUCCAAACCCUUUUCUGAAUUUUUUUUCGUUUGUUUACCUAGAGUUCCCAGAUAGUUGGCCUUUUAGCGUUGCUUUUAUUUUUAUUAUUGUGAUCAUUAUUGAUAUUGCCGUUAUAAUUUUUAUUAUUAUUAUUGUUGUUGUUUUAUACUAUAAAUAAUGAUCUUUCCUAUGAUUAUGACUGUUAUAUACAGUAUUUUUUAAUAUUUCAUUUUCGUUUUAUUUUGAUAUUUAUAAAAGGUGACUUGUAUUAAGAGACUGUAGGAAACACUUAUUUGGCUCCCUACUAGUGAAAUUAUUUUAUGUAUCUUAAAAUUACAGUGCUGCAUUUAUCAAGAAUAUAGGCCUGUACAUGGUAAGGUUUUCUAAAGCGUAAAGUCAUUAGUUGCAAGUUGUCCUGUGUGCAACUGGGAGAAUAUGCUUUCAUGAGAUGUUGGAAGGGUGUAUAUGCUCAUCACUAGGGACUGUUUUGCUGUACAUAAUUUUAUUUAAAUACACAAAGUAGCAUCUACAGUGAGUUUGUUGAUAUUCUUAUUAUUACAUUCUACAGUAUUGAAAGCACAGGAUCUUCUGACUUCUUUAGAUUUUAGAAUUCAGUAUAAAGCUUGAGGGAAUAUGGUGGUCUCUUAUAUUUGAUAAUAUGGAUUUAGUAGAUUUUUUCUUUCUAAAUUUCACCAUGCUGUAGCAUUUUGUAGCCAGAAUCCUUCAGGUUUGUAUGUUAAAUUACCCUACUUCUGCACCACAGGAUGCAUGUUCUUAUAUUGUUUGAACCAAGCAAGCAUUUUUCCAUCAUAUGCCCUUGUACCUUAUAGAAGACAGCCUUUGUUAAUUGAAUGUAAUAGUUUUGAUUUAUUAUUAUUACUUCUUAUUGUUAUUUUUUCUGUUUUUUUGCCUGUGGCUUUUAUUUCUAAAGAGUGCCUCCUCUGCUGUCAACAAUCUUCCCUUUUUUCAUCCCUUCCCUGUGCAUAAAUAGAAAAUAUUGCAAGAAAAAGAUGUAUGUUCAGGAUGGUGCCUUCAUAUUGUAUAUUGUUCUGUCUACAUAUUGUAUAUGCUUAGUACGAUGAUAAGGAACUGUCUUGCAGAAGGAAAAAAGCUGCCAGAGCUUUGCCACAUUGUAAUUGUAUUUUGAACUUGAAUAGUAUUUUUUAAGGAAGAGUAUGUAGAAACUUCAUAAAUAUGGUUUUCAGAGUUUUUUUCAGGGGGGUUUGUAUUUUGUGUAAGGCACUGUAAUUGCCUUUGUAAUUGUCACCAUAUUUCUAUUCAAUGACAUAUUGGGUGUAAACAAAAGAUUUUUUAAAAAGUACAGGAAAGGAAUUCUUCAACAGAUGUUAACUUCAAAUUCCCAGAAAAGCUGGUAUUGUUAGUGGCACUUUUUAACAUGCCAAAUUUGAAAUCCAGCUGUAUGACCAGUAAGUUGUAAAGCAAAGUCAAUGCAAAAUAAUAAGCUUAUACCUAUUUAUCUCUUAUUAUUGUAUGUCAAAGCUUCCUUAUAAAUAUACCUAGUCUUAACAUUUGUUUA